AGUCCGGGAAAAGCGCGCGCCCGCGAGAGCAUGGGCGCACCCGGCGGGCUCUUUGGGCGCUCCGUACCUCCCUGCUGCAGGGAUCCCGGGGAGCCCGGCGUUCGCACCCGCGUUCUCACCAAGCAUCCGCGGCUGCCCCUUGCCCGGCUCCUGAACCAUCCUGAAGCACAGGUGCUACAUCCACGGAGGCCAUUUUCAUCCAAACCACCACAGUGGCACUAUUGAGAGGUGCCCAGCCCAGACCAUCGAUACCGUCUCUAUCCCCCUCCCCGCCCCCUCGCAGCGCGUAGACACCUCGGCAACUCGCCCUGUUCCCACCAACUUCUACCGCGGGUUCGGCCGGCAGAGGCAGUAACUCAGCCAGGCUGAUGAUGGGAAGAAACCAAGAUGGGGGUGUUGGCUUGCCUGGCUCCUGUUCCCCUGGCACACCACCUCCCGCUACCAAAGGCCAUGUCAGGCCUCCUUCCUUCUACCGUGACCCAUGUUCUCUCCAGGUGUUCCAGAGGCUAAUGGUUUCCUGCCGUUUCUAACGUUCCUUCUAAAGGAUCCGACUCUGCUUCCUAAACCCUGAUCACACUUUGUACAUGCUCACUGUAUAUAAAUUGUUAAUGGCAAGAAACUGCCCUGAAUGUAGGACCUUAAAAAGCAUUUAUAAUCAAAUGUCUU
Molecule: long non-coding RNA, 666 nt
Organism: Microtus ochrogaster (prairie vole)
Lineage: Eukaryota; Metazoa; Chordata; Mammalia; Rodentia; Cricetidae
Exons: 3
Source: RefSeq, a predicted model, not a curated record